Molecule: long non-coding RNA, 1260 nt
Organism: Loxodonta africana (African savanna elephant)
Lineage: Eukaryota; Metazoa; Chordata; Mammalia; Proboscidea; Elephantidae
Exons: 3
Source: RefSeq, a predicted model, not a curated record
GUGCCCUCAGCCUCCCGACGGGGGCGGCUUAGCCAGAGACAGUAAGGGGACGGGGAUCAGAGCGCCGCUGGGUGUGUGUGUGUGUGUGUGUGUGUGUGUGUGUGUGUGUGUGUGUGUGAGAGAGAGAGAGAGACAGACAGACAGACAGCCCAAACCCAGAGAAGGAUCUGCGUAGAGGUGUGUGUGGGCAGAGGGAGGGAGACGGGUGGGGGGGGCGUGGGCAAUAAAAACGAAAAGAGAAACUCUUAGAAAGUUACUAUUGAAACUACAUUACAUCAUGCUGAUUCUUCCUGCUACGCAUUCUUUUUUUUCUUUUUUAAUUGUUUAAUGGAGGGGGGUGCAAAAACCGUGUUUGCUGAUCAGCUUCUGGAGAGGCUGGAACAAGGCCGUGAGGCACAGACUCUGCUCUGGCCACAUGUGGUCUGGGCAGUGGGCAGGACACCACGUUUUGGCCUCAUCGCUCCAUGCAGGCCAGUGCCAGGAACUGGGAUGGCUGCCAAGGCCAAAUUGAUAUACAGGAGAUGCCAACACAGUCUCAAGUGUCCACCUGAUACAAGUAGCUCACUCUUCAUCAACAUCUCUCUCCAACCCAUUGUCCAGUCCCUUCCAUGUCUGAUGAGUUGUCUUCGGGAAUGGUUCCUGUCCUGGGCCAACAGAAGGUUUGGGGACCAUGACCGCCGGGAUUCUUCUAGUCUCAGUCAGACCAUUAAGUAUGGUCUUUUUAUGAGAAUUUGGGGUCUGCAUCCCACUGAUCUCCUGCUCCCUCAGGGGUUCUCUGUUGUGCUCCCUGUCAGGGCAGUCAUCAGUUGUGGCCAGACACCAUCUAGUUCUUCUGGUCUCAGGAUGAUAUAAGUCUCUGGUUCAUGUGGCCCUUUCUGUCUCUUGGGCUCAUAGUUGUCGUGUGACCUUGGUGUUCUUCAUUCUCCUUUGAUCCAGGUGGGUUGAGACCAAUUGAUGCAUCUUAGAUGGCCGCUUGUUAGCAUUUAAGACCCCAGAUGGCACAUUUCAAAGUAGGAUGCAGAAUGUUUUCAUAAUAGUAUUAUUUUGCCAAUUGACUUAGAAGUCCUCUUAAGCCAUAGUCCCCAAACCCCCGCCCUUGCUCCGCUGACCUUUGAAGCAUUCAGUUUAUCCCGGAAACUUCUUUGCUUUUGGUCCAGUCCAUUUGAGCUGACCUUCUGUGUAUUGAGUAUUGUCCUUCCCUUCACCUAAAGUAGUUCUUAUCUACUAACUAAUCAGUAAAAAACCCUCUCCCACCCUCCC